GUCUACCGCCAUAGCACCCUGAGUGCGCCCCAUCUCUUAUGCUCUCGGAAGCUAAGCAGGGUCAGCCCUGAUUAGUACUUGGAUAGCAGAAAGCAUUGAUGCCUAGGGAAGUUACUUAACCUCUCUAGGCU
Molecule: ribosomal RNA, 131 nt
Organism: Aotus nancymaae (Ma's night monkey)
Lineage: Eukaryota; Metazoa; Chordata; Mammalia; Primates; Aotidae
Source: Ensembl